This 98-nucleotide transfer RNA is filed under the name Dracunculus medinensis (Guinea worm). It matches the Rfam family "tRNA". Rfam says of the family: Transfer RNA (tRNA) molecules are approximately 80 nucleotides in length. Lineage: Eukaryota; Metazoa; Nematoda; Chromadorea; Rhabditida; Dracunculidae. The record is from Rfam by way of RNAcentral.
GCUCCCGUGGCCUAAUGGAUAAGGCGUUGGUCUCCUAAUUUAAUUACAGUUGGGGCUGGGGCUAACCAACGAUGGGGGUUCAAGUCCCCCCGGGAGCC